AACUUCUACUACGAGCGGUCUACUCCGAACUUCUACUACGAGCAGUUUACUCCGAACUCCUGCUACGAGCAGGCUACUCCGAAUUCCUACAGCGGGCGGUCUAUCCCGGAUCUCUGCUGUAAGCAAAUUUCAUUCGGGCCUCUACUGUAAACAUAUUUUUUCCAAACUUCUAUUACAGGUAAACUUCAGCCGAGCUUCUUCAUAGCCGGAUCCCAGAUGAGCUUCUACAAUGGGACAGGAUCCACCGGCCAGGUUGCUACUCCGAGCUCCCACGACAACCGAUCUUCGACCGAGCUUCUACCAUAAGCGGUCUCCCUUCAGCCUUCUACA
Molecule: long non-coding RNA, 330 nt
Filed under: Elaeis guineensis (African oil palm)
Lineage: Eukaryota; Viridiplantae; Streptophyta; Magnoliopsida; Arecales; Arecaceae
Description: long non-coding RNA (EGUI_LNC026969)
Source: RNAcentral